Molecule: long non-coding RNA, 267 nt
Organism: Thamnophis elegans (Western terrestrial garter snake)
Lineage: Eukaryota; Metazoa; Chordata; Lepidosauria; Squamata; Natricidae
Exons: 3
Source: RefSeq, a predicted model, not a curated record
ACCAAACUCCCCCCUGCUCCCCAAAUUAUGCCUCCAAGUCUGCUAUAUGUUUGAUUGGAUUACAUAACGUGUUCUGUGGGGUCUUCUCCAAGAUCAAAGUUCAAAGGUAUCAAUACUCUUGUCACUUUACAGUCCAACUUCCACUUCCACAGUUUAAGGGAAUGCCAUGGUUUGCACGACUCCAAUUCUUCGCAGGUGACACGGGUUGGCUUACAAGUUAUAAAACAGGUCAACAUAAUUAAUAUAUUAAAACAUUAAGGCUGCAGA